This is a non-coding RNA of Nannospalax galili (Upper Galilee mountains blind mole rat), 1230 nucleotides long. NCBI's taxonomy places the organism in Eukaryota, Metazoa, Chordata, Mammalia, Rodentia, Spalacidae. The record is from the annotation of a RefSeq genome assembly.
CCAGCACCACGGCCCCAUCUGUCUUUCCCUUGGCCCCCAGCUGUGGGGCCACUUCUGGCUCCACAGUGACCAUGGGCUGCCUGGUCAAGGGCUACUUCCCCGAGCCAGUGACCGUGACCUGGAACUCCGGAGCCCUGUCCAGCGGAGUGCACACCUUCCCAGCUGUCCUGCAGUCCGGACUCUACACCCUCAGCAGCUCAGCAACUGUGUCCUCUAGCACCUGGCCCAGCCAGACCUACAUAUGCAAUGUAAACCACCCGGCAAGCAAAACCAAGGUGGACAAGAAAAUUGUACCCAAUGACUCGUCGUCCUCAUCCGAUUCCUGCUCAUGUCCCACGUGUCCAGCUCCUGAAGUCUUAGGGGGACCAUCCGUCUUCAUCUUCCCCCCGAAGCCCAAGGACGCACUCUUGAUCUCCCUGACCCCCAAGAUCACGUGUGUGGUAGUGGAUGUGAGCCAGGAUGAUCCUGAGAUCCAGUUUAGCUGGUUUGUGGAUAAUGUGGAGGUGCACACAGCUCAGAAACAGCACCAGGAGAAGCAGUACAAUGGCACGUUCCGUGUGGUCAGCGUCCUCCCCAUCGGGCACCAGGACUGGCUGAAGGGCAAGGAGUUCAAGUGCAAGAUCAACAGCAAUAACCUCCCGGCUCCCAUCGAGAGAACCAUCUCUAAAUCCAAAGGGCAAGCCCGGGUACCUCAGGUGUACACCCUACCCCCACCCCGGGAGCAGCUGUCUAAGAAGACGGUCAGUCUGACCUGCAUGGUUAUGGGCUUCUACCCUGAGGACAUCGAUGUGGAGUGGGCGAGGAAUGGACAACCAGAGCAGAACUUCAAGAACACCCCGCCUAUCCUGGAUGCCGAUGGGUCCUUCUUCCUCUACAGCAAACUCACUGUGGACGCAAGCAGUUGGCUAGAAGGAGAAUCAUAUACCUGCUCCGUGGUGCAUGAGGCUCUGCACAACCACCAAAUGCAGAAGACCCUCUCCCGCACUCCGGAGAUGGAACUGGAUGAGACCUGUGUCGAGGCCCAGGACGGGGAGCUGGACGGGCUCUGGACGACCAUCACCAUCUUCAUCACCCUCUUCCUGCUCAGCGUGUGCUACAGCGCCACGGUCACUCUCUUCAAGGUGAAGUGGAUCUUCUCCUCUGUGGUGGAGCUGAAGCAGACGAUCGCACCCGACUACAGGAACAUGAUCGGUCAGGGGGCCUAGGCUGCCACCUCAGAGGGGCUUGGGG